This 547-nucleotide ribosomal RNA is filed under the name uncultured bacterium. RNAcentral's name for it is "bacterial SSU rRNA". It matches the Rfam family "Bacterial small subunit ribosomal RNA", at positions 355 to 896 of the family's 1533-position model. The record is from RNAcentral.
UAGGGAAUUUUUCACAAUGAGCGAAAGCUUGAUGGAGCAAUGCCGCGUGAACGAUGAAGGUCUUUAAGAUUGUAAAGUUCUUUUAUUUGGGAAGAAUGACUUUAGCAGGUAAUGGCUAGAGUUUGACUGUACCAUUUUGAAUAAGUGACGACUAACUAUGUGCCAGCAGUCGCGGUAAUACAUAGGUCGCAAGCGUUAUCCGGAUUUAUUGGGCGUAAAGCAAGCGCAGGCGGAUUGAAAAGUCUGGUGUUAAAGGCAGCUGCUUAACAGUUGUAUGCAUUGGAAACUAUUAAUCUAGAGUGUGGUAGGGAGUUUUGGAAUUUCAUGUGGAGCGGUGAAAUGCGUAGAUAUAUGAAGGAACACCAGUGGCGAAGGCGAAAACUUAGGCCAUUACUGACGCUUAGGCCUGAAAGUGUGGGGAGCAAAUAGGAUUAGAUACCCUAGUAGUCCACACCGUAAACGAUAGAUACUAGCUGUCGGGGCGAUCCCCUCGGUAGUGAAGUUAACACAUUAAGUAUCUCGCCUGGGUAGUACAUUCGCAAGAAUG